Molecule: long non-coding RNA, 1298 nt
Filed under: Manihot esculenta (cassava)
Lineage: Eukaryota; Viridiplantae; Streptophyta; Magnoliopsida; Malpighiales; Euphorbiaceae
Description: long non-coding RNA (MESC_LNC007867)
Source: RNAcentral
GUAUCAAUUAAUAAACUAUCUACUUAUCAAAAUCAAUUGAAACACUAAAAAGCAAAAAUGAGAUGACACCAAUAUCAUUCAUAGAACAGACAGCAGCCAAAUAAUUCAUAGAGCUUCAAUCAAAUGAAAGAACCUACCCAAGAGAUAGACACAGAGAACUGACCUGGAGAAAAAGCAGAAAAUCUAGAGGGCAUGUAAGAGAUGCAUUUGAAGCCACCAUAACUGCCAAGCAAUGAUGAAGAAGACAACCUGCGAAGAGACCACAUUUCUUCUCUUUUCUCUAGGGCUUUUCCUGUUUUCAGUAUAACCACUUUUCUUAGGAAGUGUAUCUGCAAAAUUUAAAAUACCCAAAUCCAAACCCCUUUAUACGAAUACUACCCAAACACAUUUAGAAAUUAUAUUUCACUACCAGCACCUGUCCCAAUCCACAAUUUAGAAUACCCAAAUCCGAACCCAUUUACAUAUAUUACCUAAACUUAUUUAGAAUGAUACUUCACCACCCGCGUCUAAACUAAACCUGUUGAGCAUUACCCAAACACCCCCUAACCCGAUUAACUACAUGUAAAUUACAAGUUUGAACCCAAGUAAAAGCACAAUCAACAAAGGAGAAAAACCAAAUAGUAAAAAGAACUGGCUUCAGAAAUAGGCAAAUACUAAAAAUUUUAUCAUUUGAGGAUAAUAUGUAAAAUGCAAAUAGCAUGUAUGCUGCAAAUUAGCUCUUAUUCCAUGUAAUUGGAUAACUGUUAUCCCUCAUGAUUUAGGAGGUUAAUCGUUCUCUCAUGUCGUUUGGUCGUGUAAUACAAUGACAUACAGAUUAAAAAAUCACAUAUGUGCUAAUUUAACAAGUCUCAACAUAUACACAAAAAACUCAGUAGUUUCAGGACCAAAAUAUUUAUCCAUUCAAAGAGUUGAGAAACCGUGGAGAUAGAAACCCAUUUCAGAAACAGAACAAAAAAGCAUUCAAAGAUAGAAACCCAAUCAGCAACAAAUCUCAAGUAUUCAAACAAACCUGCGUAAUGACCGUGGGACACAGAAGCAGCGGCGAUGGAGUAGGGGUAGCAGUGGGGAGACAGGAGCGCAAUUGAAAAAGAAGCGUCGAGACACCAGCGUGACUGAGGAGGGGCAGCUGCGGCGUGACUAAGAAUAAGCAACAGCAGCGACGGCGAGGGACUUAGUGCCUAGGGAAGUGGGGAUGGAGUGGAGCGGCGGCGGGUGUUUCCUAUUCGAGAGAAUUGAGUAAUAUGCACCGUAGAGUAAGGUUAAAAAUAAAGUAAAUUCUUUCCCAUUUUGUUUUAAAU